GUGAGGAAUUUUCCGCAAUGGGCGAAAGCCUGACGGAGCAAUGCCGCGUGAAGGAUGAAGGCCUAUGGGUUGUAAACUUCUUUUCUCAGAAAAGAAUUAUGACGGUAUCUGAGGAAUAAGCAUCGGCUAACUCUGUGCCAGCAGCCGCGGUAAGACAGAGGAUGCAAGCGUUAUCCGGAAUGAUUGGGCGUAAAGCGUCUGUAGGUUGUUUAAAAAGUAUUCUGUCAAAGAUUAGGGCUUAACCCUAGAUAGGCAGAAUAAACUUUUAAGCUAGAGUUUGGUAGAGGCAGAGGGAAUUCCCGGUGGAGCGGUGAAAUGCGUAGAUAUCGGGAGGAACACCAAAUGCGAAGGCACUCUGCUGGGCCAAUACUAACACUGAGAGACGAAAGCGAGGGGAGCAAAUGGGAUUAGAUACCCUGGUAGUCC
This 426-nucleotide ribosomal RNA is filed under the name uncultured bacterium. Its description in RNAcentral is "bacterial SSU rRNA". It matches the Rfam family "Bacterial small subunit ribosomal RNA", at positions 354 to 796 of the family's 1533-position model. The record is from RNAcentral.